Dioscorea cayenensis subsp. rotundata (Guinea yam) is the source of this 687-nucleotide long non-coding RNA. RefSeq lists it as uncharacterized. The transcript is spliced from 2 exons. Lineage: Eukaryota; Viridiplantae; Streptophyta; Magnoliopsida; Dioscoreales; Dioscoreaceae. The record is from RefSeq and is a predicted model, not a curated record.
AGUCAUGACCUCUAUGAUUUCACAUGAAUCAACCAGCCUGUAAGGUAGAUAGGAACAUUUGGUCACUAGGUGGCCUAUCCUAGGGUAUCUAAAGCAAAACGCCAGCAGUCUUUCGUAAAAGAUCGUAACCAUGACUCUCUCUUCUUCAAAGCCCACCACUUUACCUAUGAAAAGAGAUAACCAUUAUCCUCAACUCCCUUUGUUUUUUUCCCAUGGAACUUGCUACACUACGAGUAAAUCCACAUCACCAUCCUUCCUAUAUAUGCUCUUCAUCACUUGUAAAAAAAAGAUAGAAGAAGAAAGAAGAGAAAGAGAGAUGACAAGAGCACUACAUGGUCUUGACUAUGUUGUCUUCAUGAUCAUGGUGGUAGUGAUGGCCGAAUUGGUCUCCAGUGAGAGCCAUCUGAAAUCAGGACCAACAAUGGAUCCACCAAGUGAUUGUUGUCAUGUAGUUCAGAAAGUAGAUGUGUCAUGUCUCUGUAGUCAAGUCACUCCAGAAACUGAAGAGGCCAUCAACAUGCAAAAGGUCACACAUGUUGCUUAGAAGCGUGGCAGACCUUUCUCUCCUGGUACUAAGUUACACUGUUCCUCCAAUGAUAUAUAGCAUGUAUGGAGAGACAUACGGAGAGGAGGUGCAUGCUAGUGUGAUUGAAGAACUGAAUGAACAAUUGAAGAGUGUUUUGUGUC